RNAcentral lists this ribosomal RNA (386 nucleotides) under uncultured bacterium. RNAcentral describes it as "partial 16S ribosomal RNA". The record is from RNAcentral.
ACCGCAGCAAUGCUGAUCUGCGAUUACUAGCGAUUCCGACUUCACGGAGUCGAGUUGCAGACUCGAUCCGGACUACGAUAGAUUUUCUGGGAUUGGCUCCCUCUCGCGAGUUGGCUUCCCUCUGUAUCUACCAUUGUAGCACGUGUGUAGCCCUGCCAUAAAGGCCAUGAUGACUUGACGUCAUCCCCACCUUCCUCCGGUUUGUCACCGGCGGUCUCCUUAGAGUGCCCAACUUAAUGCUGGCAACUAAGGACAAGGGUUGCGCUCGUUGCGGGACUUAACCCAACAUCUCACGACACGAGCUGACGACAGCCAUGCAGCACCUGUGUUCGAGUUCCUUGCGGCACUCCCAAAUCUCUUCGGGAUUCUCGACAUGUCAAGGCCAG